This 755-nucleotide ribosomal RNA is filed under the name Hypocrella luteola. RNAcentral's name for it is "eukaryotic LSU rRNA". It matches the Rfam family "Eukaryotic large subunit ribosomal RNA", at positions 146 to 918 of the family's 3401-position model. Lineage: Eukaryota; Fungi; Ascomycota; Sordariomycetes; Hypocreales; Clavicipitaceae. The record is from RNAcentral.
UAAUUUGCAGAGGAUGCUUCUGGCGAGGUGCCUUCCGAGUUCCCUGGAACGGGACGCCGCAGAGGGUGAGAGCCCCGUCUGGUCGGACACCGAGCCUCUGUGAAGCUCCUUCGACGAGUCGAGUAGUUUGGGAAUGCUGCUCUAAAUGGGAGGUAUAUGUCUUCUAAAGCUAAAUACCGGCCAGAGACCGAUAGCGCACAAGUAGAGUGAUCGAAAGAUGAAAAGCACUUUGAAAAGAGGGUUAAACAGUACGUGAAAUUGUUGAAAGGGAAGCGCUCACGACCAGACCUGGUCCCGGCGAAUCACCCGGCGUUCUCGCCGGUGCACUUCGACGGGCUUCCAGGCCAGCAUCAGUCCGCGCCGGGGGACAAAGGCGGCGGGAACGUGGCUCCCCAGGGAGUGUUAUAGCCCGCCGCGCAAUGCCCCGGGGGCGGACUGAGGACCGCGCGUCACCGCAAGGAUGCUGGCGUAAUGGUCGUCAGCGACCCGUCUUGAAACACGGACCAAGGAGUCGUCCUCGUAUGCGAGUGUUGGGGCGUCAAACCCCCCGCGCGUAAUGAAAGUGAACGGCAGGUGAGAGCCCUCGCGGGCGCAUCAUCGACCGAUCCUGAUGUUCUCGGAUGGAUUUGAGUAGGAGCAUACGGGGCCGGACCCGAAAGAAGGUGAACUAUGCCUGUGUAGGGUGAAGCCAGAGGAAACUCUGGUGGAGGCUCGCAGCGGUUCUGACGUGCAAAUCGAUCGUCAAACAUGGGCAU